GCGUUAAGUUGCAGGGUAUAGACCCGAAACCCGGUGAUCUAGCCAUGGGCAGGUUGAAGGUUGGGUAACACUAACUGGAGGACCGAACCGACUAAUGUUGAAAAAUUAGCGGAUGACCUGUGGCUGGGGGUGAAAGGCCAAUCAAACCGGGAGAUAGCUGGUUCUCCCCGAAAGCUAUUUAGGUAGCGCCUCGUGAAUUCAUCUCCGGGGGUAGAGCACUGUUUCGGCUAGGGGGCCAUCCCGGCUUACCAACCCGAUGCAAACUGCGAAUACCGGAGAAUGUUAUCACGGGAGACACACGGCGGGUGCUAACGUCCGUCGUGAAGAGGGAAACAACCCAGACCGCCAGCUAAGGUCCCAAAGUCAUGGUUAAGUGGGAAACGAUGUGGGAAGGCCCAGACAGCCAGGAUGUUGGCUUAGAAGCAGCCAUCAUUUAAAGAAAGCGUAAUAGCUCACUGGUCGAGUCGGCCUGCGCGGAAGAUGUAACGGGGCUAAACCAUGCACCGAAGCUGCGGCAGCGACGCUGAUGCGUUGUUGGGUAGGGGAGCGUUCUGUAAGCCUGUGAAGGUGGCCUGUGAGGGUUGCUGGAGGUAUCAGAAGUGCGAAUGCUGACAUAAGUAACGAUAAAGCGGGUGAAAAGCCCGCUCGCCGGAAGACCAAGGGUUCCUGUCCAACGUUAAUCGGGGCAGGGUGAGUCGACCCCUAAGGCGAGGCCGAAAGGCGUAGUCGAUGGGAAACGGGUUAAUAUUCCCGUACUUGGUGUUACUGCGAAGGGGGGACGGAGAAGGCUAUGUUGGCCGGGCGACGGUUGUCCCGGUUUAAGCGUGUAGGUGUGUGUUCCAGGUAAAUCCGGUUCACUUUAACACUGAGGCGUGAUGACGAGGCACUACGGUGCUGAAGCAACAAAUGCCCUGCUUCCAGGAAAAGCCUCUAAGCAUCAGGUAACAUCAAAUCGUACCCCAAACCGACACAGGUGGUCAGGUAGAGAAUACCAAGGCGCUUGAGAGAACUCGGGUGAAGGAACUAGGCAAAAUGGUGCCGUAACUUCGGGAGAAGGCACGCUGACAUGUAGGUGAAGUGAUUUACUCAUGGAGCUGAAGUCAGUCGAAGAUACCAGCUGGCUGCAACUGUUUAUUAAAAACACAGCACUGUGCAAACACGAAAGUGGACGUAUACGGUGUGACGCCUGCCCGGUGCCGGAAGGUUAAUUGAUGGGGUCAGCGCAAGCGAAGCUCCUGAUCGAAGCCCCGGUAAACGGCGGCCGUAACUAUAACGGUCCUAAGGUAGCGAAAUUCCUUGUCGGGUAAGUUCCGACCUGCACGAAUGGCGUAAUGAUGGCCAGGCUGUCUCCACCCGAGACUCAGUGAAAUUGAACUCGCUGUGAAGAUGCAGUGUACCCGCGGCAAGACGGAAAGACCCCGUGAACCUUUACUAUAGCUUGACACUGAACAUUGAGCCUUGAUGUGUAGGAUAGGUGGGAGGCUUUGAAGUGUGGACGCCAGUCUGCAUGGAGCCGACCUUGAAAUACCACCCUUUAAUGUUUGAUGUUCUAACGUGGACCCGUAAUCCGGGUUGCGGACAGUGUCUGGUGGGUAGUUUGACUGGGGCGGUCUCCUCCUAAAGAGUAACGGAGGAGCACGAAGGUUGGCUAAUCCUGGUCGGACAUCAGGAGGUUAGUGCAAUGGCAUAAGCCAGCUUGACUGCGAGCGUGACGGCGCGAGCAGGUGCGAAAGCAGGUCAUAGUGAUCCGGUGGUUCUGAAUGGAAGGGCCAUCGCUCAACGGAUAAAAGGUACUCCGGGGAUAACAGGCUGAUACCGCCCAAGAGUUCAUAUCGACGGCGGUGUUUGGCACCUCGAUGUCGGCUCAUCACAUCCUGGGGCUGAAGUAGGUCCCAAGGGUAUGGCUGUUCGCCAUUUAAAGUGGUACGCGAGCUGGGUUUAGAACGUCGUGAGACAGUUCGGUCCCUAUCUGCCGUGGGCGCUGGAGAACUGAGGGGGGCUGCUCCUAGUACGAGAGGACCGGAGUGGACGCAUCACUGGUGUUCGGGUUGUCAUGCCAAUGGCACUGCCCGGUAGCUAAAUGCGGAAGAGAUAAGUGCUGAAAGCAUCUAAGCACGAAACUUGCCCCGAGAUGAGUUCU
This 2140-nucleotide ribosomal RNA is filed under the name Salmonella enterica. Its description in RNAcentral is "bacterial LSU rRNA". It matches the Rfam family "Bacterial large subunit ribosomal RNA", at positions 692 to 2812 of the family's 2925-position model. Lineage: Bacteria; Pseudomonadati; Pseudomonadota; Gammaproteobacteria; Enterobacterales; Enterobacteriaceae. The record is from RNAcentral.